RNAcentral lists this ribosomal RNA (301 nucleotides) under uncultured bacterium. Its description in RNAcentral is "partial 16S ribosomal RNA". It matches the Rfam family "Bacterial small subunit ribosomal RNA", at positions 509 to 807 of the family's 1533-position model. The record is from RNAcentral.
CAGUCGCCGCGGUAAUACGGAGGAUCCAAGCGUUAUCCGGAAUCAUUGGGUUUAAAGGGUCCGUAGGCGGUCUUGUAAGUCAGUGGUGAAAGCCCAUCGCUCAACGGUGGAACGGCCAUUGAUACUGCAGGACUUGAAUUAUUGGGAAGUAACUAGAAUAUGUAGUGUAGCGGUGAAAUGCUUAGAGAUUACAUGGAAUACCAAUUGCGAAGGCAGGUUACUACCAAUUGAUUGACGCUGAUGGACGAAAGCGUGGGUAGCGAACAGGAUUAGAUACCCCUGUAGUCCCUGUCUCUUAUAC